AUUGAACGCUGGCGGCAUGCCUUACACAUGCAAGUCGAACGGCAGCGGACCUUCGGGUGCCGGCGAGUGGCGAACGGGUGAGUAAUGCAUCGGAACGUGCCAUUGAGUGGGGGAUAACGUAGCGAAAGUUACGCUAAUACCGCAUAUUCUGUGAGCAGGAAAGUAGGGGACCGCAAGGCCUUGCGCUCUUUGAGCGGCCGAUGUCAGAUUAGCUAGUUGGUGAGGUAAAGGCUUACCAAGGCGACGAUCUGUAGCGGGUCUGAGAGGAUGAUCCGCCACACUGGAACUGAGACACGGUCCAGACUCCUACGGGAGGCAGCAGUGGGGAAUUUUGGACAAUGGGCGCAAGCCUGAUCCAGCCAUGCCGCGUGAGUGAAGAAGGCCU
Molecule: ribosomal RNA, 385 nt
Filed under: uncultured bacterium
Lineage: Bacteria
Description: bacterial SSU rRNA
Rfam family: Bacterial small subunit ribosomal RNA
Source: RNAcentral